This 1545-nucleotide ribosomal RNA is filed under the name Salmonella enterica. RNAcentral describes it as "partial 23S ribosomal RNA". It matches the Rfam family "Bacterial large subunit ribosomal RNA", at positions 711 to 2236 of the family's 2925-position model. Lineage: Bacteria; Pseudomonadati; Pseudomonadota; Gammaproteobacteria; Enterobacterales; Enterobacteriaceae. The record is from RNAcentral.
AGACCCGAAACCCGGUGAUCUAGCCAUGGGCAGGUUGAAGGUUGGGUAACACUAACUGGAGGACCGAACCGACUAAUGUUGAAAAAUUAGCGGAUGACCUGUGGCUGGGGGUGAAAGGCCAAUCAAACCGGGAGAUAGCUGGUUCUCCCCGAAAGCUAUUUAGGUAGCGCCUCGUGAAUUCAUCUCCGGGGGUAGAGCACUGUUUCGGCUAGGGGGCCAUCCCGGCUUACCAACCCGAUGCAAACUGCGAAUACCGGAGAAUGUUAUCACGGGAGACACACGGCGGGUGCUAACGUCCGUCGUGAAGAGGGAAACAACCCAGACCGCCAGCUAAGGUCCCAAAGUCAUGGUUAAGUGGGAAACGAUGUGGGAAGGCCCAGACAGCCAGGAUGUUGGCUUAGAAGCAGCCAUCAUUUAAAGAAAGCGUAAUAGCUCACUGGUCGAGUCGGCCUGCGCGGAAGAUGUAACGGGGCUAAACCAUGCACCGAAGCUGCGGCAGCGACGCUGAUGCGUUGUUGGGUAGGGGAGCGUUCUGUAAGCCUGUGAAGGUGGCCUGUGAGGGUUGCUGGAGGUAUCAGAAGUGCGAAUGCUGACAUAAGUAACGAUAAAGCGGGUGAAAAGCCCGCUCGCCGGAAGACCAAGGGUUCCUGUCCAACGUUAAUCGGGGCAGGGUGAGUCGACCCCUAAGGCGAGGCCGAAAGGCGUAGUCGAUGGGAAACGGGUUAAUAUUCCCGUACUUGGUGUUACUGCGAUGGGGGGACGGAGAAGGCUAUGUUGGCCGGGCGACGGUUGUCCCGGUUUAAGCGUGUAGGUGUGUGUUCCAGGUAAAUCCGGUUCACUUUAACACUGAGGCGUGAUGACGAGGCACUACGGUGCUGAAGCAACAAAUGCCCUGCUUCCAGGAAAAGCCUCUAAGCAUCAGGUAACAUCAAAUCGUACCCCAAACCGACACAGGUGGUCAGGUAGAGAAUACCAAGGCGCUUGAGAGAACUCGGGUGAAGGAACUAGGCAAAAUGGUGCCGUAACUUCGGGAGAAGGCACGCUGACAUGUAGGUGAAGUGAUUUACUCACGGAGCUGAAGUCAGUCGAAGAUACCAGCUGGCUGCAACUGUUUAUUAAAAACACAGCACUGUGCAAACACGAAAGUGGACGUAUACGGUGUGACGCCUGCCCGGUGCCGGAAGGUUAAUUGAUGGGGUCAGCGCAAGCGAAGCUCCUGAUCGAAGCCCCGGUAAACGGCGGCCGUAACUAUAACGGUCCUAAGGUAGCGAAAUUCCUUGUCGGGUAAGUUCCGACCUGCACGAAUGGCGUAAUGAUGGCCAGGCUGUCUCCACCCGAGACUCAGUGAAAUUGAACUCGCUGUGAAGAUGCAGUGUACCCGCGGCAAGACGGAAAGACCCCGUGAACCUUUACUAUAGCUUGACACUGAACAUUGAGCCUUGAUGUGUAGGAUAGGUGGGAGGCUUUGAAGUGUGGACGCCAGUCUGCAUGGAGCCGGCCUUGAAAUACCACCCUUUAAUGUUUGAUGUUCUAACGUGGACCCGU